Molecule: ribosomal RNA, 469 nt
Filed under: uncultured Rikenellaceae bacterium
Lineage: Bacteria; Pseudomonadati; Bacteroidota; Bacteroidia; Bacteroidales; Rikenellaceae
Description: bacterial SSU rRNA
Rfam family: Bacterial small subunit ribosomal RNA
Source: RNAcentral
UGACGGGGCCCGCACAAGCGGAGGAACAUGUGGUUUAAUUCGAUGAUACGCGAGGAACCUUACCUGGGCUAGAACGCAUUCGGAAUCAGGCCGAAAGGCCUGCGCCAGCGAUGGCCGCUUGCGAGGUGCUGCAUGGUUGUCGUCAGCUCGUGCCGUGAGGUGUCGGGUUAAGUCCCAUAACGAGCGCAACCCCUACUGCUAGUUGCCAGCGGGUCAUGCCGGGGACUCUAGCGGAACUGCCAGCGUAAGCUGCGAGGAAGGUGGGAUGACGUCAAAUCAGCACGGCCCUUACGUCCAGGGCUACACACGUGUUACAAUGGCCGGUACAGAGGGCAGCCACCCCGCGAGGGGGCGCGAAUCCCGAAAGCCGGUCCCAGUUCGGAUCGGAGUCUGCAACCCGACUCCGUGAAGCUGGAUUCGCUAGUAAUCGCGCAUCAGCCACGGCGCGGUGAAUACGUUCCCGGGCCUU